Molecule: long non-coding RNA, 1882 nt
Organism: Lolium perenne
Lineage: Eukaryota; Viridiplantae; Streptophyta; Magnoliopsida; Poales; Poaceae
Source: RefSeq, a predicted model, not a curated record
AACAUAACCAGCCCUACAACAACACAUACCUUGCAACGGUGCUGACAUGUGUAUCUACCAUCCAUCUACCGAACGCACCCACGUCAAGGCUGGCUAGUUAUAACCCACCCCCAUCUCUGCAUCUCCGUCCCUCUCGAUCCCCAUUAUCCGCCAGUCCACCAUAACCCUAGAAGCACGACGCCGCCACAAAUCAAUCUGUCUAACAACAUCUACUCCAUUCCUCUCCAGCUUCCCCUCGCCUCAGGCCUUUAACAUUCAUGUUGUUGUUCUGCUCGGAGACCACGCGAGGCGACGCGCACUGAAUCAUGAAGCGGCGCGGGUGCACAGAGAAGGGGCGAGGCGGAUCAUAGUGGUCACGGCGGAAGAAGGGCAAUCCAGUAUCGCCUUUGGUUGGUUGGUGAUGAUACUGAUACCCAAGGCGCCGAUGGGGAUUUGGGACUGGUGCCUGGGGUGGGGUGACGAGGGCAGUCAGGAUUCAGCUCUGCAUCCACCGCCGCUAACAUCGACGGUAGCCAUCUCAUGUCCAUCGUCACAGGUGCAAAACUGUUUCCCCGUGCUAUUAGCUGUUCACCGUCAGGCCUAAGACAGGUACGCACUGAAGAUAGGAAUUCUCACCUAACUCAUCACGCUAGUGCCAAAUGUAGAGUCCAGUUUGCCAUGCGCAUUGUUCUAAGUAAUGAAUUCAGUGAUUAGGAAGAACAUAAAUUAUUAAUAUUGUUAUUUGCAACUGGGCAUAUGUUCAUAUUCUGGUUAAUAACCUAUUUCGUCCUGCAGCUUUCAGCAGCUGGAAAUUUAUUUCCUGAAGUUUCAGUAACUGAGUUUUACUUCGGCAGAUUAGAAGAAACUUGUAUGUGAACUAAUUGUCGCACACCCUUAUCUUGGCCAGGUAAGGUACCUGUUCGCUAUGUUAACUUCAGGGCUGGAACUGAAGUUGUUGGUAUAACAUAAAAUCUGGGUUUGUAGAAUCACUGUUAUCUGCAGUAUGCCCAUUGAGUUUUUUGAACUAUGCCAUGUCAGCAGUCCUUCCCAAAGUGUACCAUUAUGUGCUGCUUGUAAGAUUUGUUAGGAUCAUCUUCAUAGUUUACUGUAUCAUGUCUUUUUUGUUUAUUGCAAACAGUAGUUAAGAUAUGCAACAAAUACAUGGUUAAAAGAGUAAACACCUAAUCAUGAAUCACAUUUUCUACAUAAUUGAGUUUAUCCAUGCCGGCAUGAUUAUCUAGGUGCAUUGCCCAUUGUUCUUAUUUUUUUACUGCUCUCUGUUCAGAAAAUACAGAGUGAGAAGCACCUGCAAUGCUUAUCAAUGGUCAGUUUGCAUGCUAGUGAUUGAAAUCCAUGGCUAGAAUAAACCCAUGGGAGCAAACAACUGGCUUGAGUUAACUUCAGUUAUGGAGGUCAAGUUUUUUUUUUUUGCGAAUAAGUUAUGCAGGUCAAGUUAAUUGGAUCGACAUCAUAAUUGUGUUUCCUACUGACUACCUGGAAGUUUGGCUGGUAAACAAAGGAAGAGGAAAUAUAUUUCUAUCUUGGGUGGAUUUGAGGCCACUAAAAACUACUCUUUACCAAGAGGCCGAAAAGAUAAGCAAGGGUUCCCGUAACUAACCAAUUGUGAGCUGUACAUGCCAAUGCUGCACUUGUGAAAACUGAAGAGUUCGUACGAUUCAAAAGAUAAAUGGAUGAUGAUAUGGGUGAAAAGUUGAAUGGAAUGAGGACAAUGCUUUUGCUGCUGGAUAUAUAAUCUACUUCACAUCUCUGCAUCUUUAGUUAUCUCGUAGGAAGGAAGUGAUAUUGUAAACAUGAUAUUUAUAUAUGUACCACGUGGAUGGUGAUCCUAUUGUAAUGCCACGAUUUUAAUCUAAUAUAGUACUAUGUUUUUCUUCUCUACAAA